Molecule: ribosomal RNA, 253 nt
Filed under: uncultured bacterium
Lineage: Bacteria
Description: partial 16S ribosomal RNA
Rfam family: Bacterial small subunit ribosomal RNA
Source: RNAcentral
UACAGAGGGGGCAAGCGUUGUUCGGAAUUACUGGGCGUAAAGGGCGCGUAGGCGGCCUGCUAAGUCGAACGUGAGAUCCCUGGGCUUAACCCAGGAACUGCGUCCGAUACUGGUUGGCUUGAAUCCGGGAGAGGGAUGUGGAAUUCCAGGUGUAGCGGUGAAAUGCGUAGAUAUCUGGAGGAACACCGGUGGCGAAGGCGACAUCCUGGACCGGUAUUGACGCUGAGGCGCGAAAGCCAGGGGAGCAAACGGG